This is a non-coding RNA of Podarcis muralis (Common wall lizard), 632 nucleotides long. NCBI's taxonomy places the organism in Eukaryota, Metazoa, Chordata, Lepidosauria, Squamata, Lacertidae. The record is from RefSeq and is a predicted model, not a curated record.
GGAGAGAGACCGGCGGAUGUCUAGAGCCAAGGCGAUGCUGAAGAAGGAGCUGUCCUUUCAGCACCACGGCGCUCUCCGUUUCCUCCUCUUGCAAGCAGCAGCUGCUUCAGGUGAGAGCUGUGAUUCCUGGGAGCUGACAGCAUGCGACAGUGACCACACCCUGGGAAAUGGCUUUGACUGGCUGCCUAAACCAUGUGAGGGUAGCUGAUGGGUUCUCAAACCCUUGGACAUCUUUAGGAGAAGGAGUAAACCCUACACAAAUCCAGAGCGGAGUCCGUAAGAUGGUUGAAUAGCGUCUUGUACGAAUCCUUCCAGCAACUCCUGCAGCUAAGCUGGUGGCAAAUGCAUUGCUCUGCUUUCCUUUGGACCACAUCAGUGAGACCGAGAGGGGGUCUUGUCUUCUUGACAACCCAGGACCUCCAUACACUUUGCCCUGGCUUGCACCCCAGGGAGGUCACUUUGGGACUGCUAAAUGCAGCAAAAACAACAUGGGAGGCAGCAGUUAUGAGUUACUGGUCUUUGCAGUGACAGAAGGUACUGUAGUUCUCCAUUGUUUCACCCUGGAAGCACAUUCAGUUGUCUCUUGAGACAGAUGAAUGCCAAUUGCAGCUUCUCAACCUAUCCGCAUAGGA